GUGUCAGCAGCCGCGGUAAGACGAGGGGUCCAAGCGUUGUUCGGAAUCAUUGGGCGUAAAGCGGGUGUAGGUGGCUCUAUAAGUCAGAAGUGAAAUCCCCGAGCUUAACUUGGGAAGUGCUUUUGAAACUGCAGAGCUUGAAUGUGGGAGAGGAUCGUGGAAUUCCAGGUGUAGUGGUGAAAUACGUAGAUAUCUGGAGGAACACCGGUGGCGAAGGCGGCGAUCUGGCCCAACAUUGACACUGAGACCCGAAAGCGUGGGGAUCAAACAGGAUUAGAUACCCUGGUAGUCC
This 292-nucleotide ribosomal RNA is filed under the name uncultured bacterium. Its description in RNAcentral is "partial 16S ribosomal RNA". It matches the Rfam family "Bacterial small subunit ribosomal RNA", at positions 505 to 796 of the family's 1533-position model. The record is from RNAcentral.